UAGUCAUAUGCUUGUCUCAAAGAUUAAGCCAUGCAUGUCUAAGUAUAAACAAGUUUUAUACUGUGAAACUGCGCACAGCUCAUUAUAUCAGCAAUAAUUUAUUUGAUGGUUACCUUACUACUUGGAUACCCGUGGUAAUUCUAGAGCUAAUACAUGCGUCAAGUCCUAACUCUAAGAGCUUGCUCUGGGGGAAGGAUGUAUUUAUUAGAUACAAAACCAAUAGGAAGGCUUCGGUCUUUCUUCUCUUUUGGUGAUUCAUAGUAACUGUUCGGAUCGC
This 277-nucleotide ribosomal RNA is filed under the name uncultured eukaryote. RNAcentral's name for it is "partial 18S ribosomal RNA". It matches the Rfam family "Eukaryotic small subunit ribosomal RNA", at positions 21 to 272 of the family's 1831-position model. The record is from RNAcentral.